RNAcentral lists this long non-coding RNA (335 nucleotides) under Musa acuminata (dwarf banana). RNAcentral's name for it is "long non-coding RNA (MACU_LNC007373)". The record is from RNAcentral. Lineage: Eukaryota; Viridiplantae; Streptophyta; Magnoliopsida; Zingiberales; Musaceae.
UUUUUCAUGCAUGAUACAAAUAACUCAAUCAUCAAUAUCGGCAUAUCAUACAUGAUAUUCAAGCAUUCAUGAUAAAUCAUUUUGGCAACAUGAUCAUAGCUAUUCAAAUGAUAGUAUCUAAAUGUCAAAAUUCAUUACAUCCUAUCAUGCAUGAUCAUUAACUUCUUAUUUGAAUUUCAUGCAUUAUUUUGUUUCAUCACAUAAGGAAUAUCAAGAAGAGUUAUUGGGUGAUGAGAUAAAUAUUUCAUGAGUACAAGGAAUUGCAUGAAAAUCAUAUCAUGAAAAGAUAAUACCAAAAGACACAUUUUCUUUUGAAAAAUCUCCUCUUAAAUAAU